This 811-nucleotide ribosomal RNA is filed under the name uncultured Fidelibacterota bacterium. RNAcentral's name for it is "SSU rRNA". It matches the Rfam family "Bacterial small subunit ribosomal RNA", at positions 67 to 860 of the family's 1533-position model. The record is from RNAcentral. Lineage: Bacteria; Pseudomonadati; Fidelibacterota.
GAGAACGGAUUCUUCGGGAUACUAGUAAACUGGCGAACGGGUGAGUAACACGUAGGUAAUCUACCCUGGAGAUUGGGAUAACCCCGGGAAACCGGAGCUAAUACUGAAUAAUGCAGCGGAUCCUUCGGGAUAUGUUGUUAAAGCGGGCUUUUGCUCGCACUUUAGGAUGAGCCUGCGUCCGAUUAGCUUGUUGGUGGGGUAAUAGCCUACCAAGGCGAUGAUCGGUAGCUGGUCUGAGAGGAUGAUCAGCCACACUGGGAUUGAGAUACGGCCCAGACUCCUACGGGAGGCAGCAGUGGGGAAUUUUGCGCAAUGGGCGAAAGCCUGACGCAGCAACGCCGCGUGAUCGAUGAAGCUUUUCGGAGUGUAAAGAUCUGUCGUGAGGGAAGAAUAACUUGGAUGCAAAUAGUUUUCAAGUCUGACGGUACCUCAUAAGAAAGCACCGGCUAACUUCGUGCCAGCAGCCGCGGUAAUACGAGGGGUGCUAGCGUUGUCCGGAAUCAUUGGGCGUAAAGGGUCCGUAGGUGUCUUUGCAAGUCGUUUGUUACAUCCACCGGCUUAACCGGUGGCCUGCAAUCGAAACUGCAAGGAUAGAGUUCGAGAGAGGAAAGUGGAAUUCCUGGUGUAGCGGUGACAUGCGUAGAUAUCAGGAGGAACACCAAUGGCGAAGGCAGCUUUCUGGCUCGAUACUGACACUGAGGGACGAAAGCGUGGGUAGCGAACAGGAUUAGAUACCCUGGUAGUCCACGCCGUAAACGAUGAGUACUUGAUGUCGGAGGAUUCGACCCCUUCGGUAUCGUAGCUAACGCNU